GGGGGUGUUGGGUGAACAUAAGGCGAAAGUGACUAAUAUUACUGUCUUCGGGAGGCAGGGGCCGGAGGUUCGAAUCCUCUCGCUCCGACCA
RNAcentral lists this transfer RNA (91 nucleotides) under Rhodobacteraceae bacterium G21628-S1. RNAcentral describes it as "tRNA-Pro". The record is from RNAcentral. Lineage: Bacteria; Pseudomonadati; Pseudomonadota; Alphaproteobacteria; Rhodobacterales; Paracoccaceae.